GCCCCGGUAGCUCAACUGGACAGAGCAUCGCCCUUCUAAGGCGAGGGUUACAGGUUCGAGCCCUGUCCGGGGUA
Molecule: transfer RNA, 74 nt
Filed under: Nitrososphaerota archaeon
Lineage: Archaea; Thermoproteati; Nitrososphaerota
Description: Thaumarchaeota archaeon tRNA-Arg
Rfam family: tRNA
About the family: Transfer RNA (tRNA) molecules are approximately 80 nucleotides in length. Their secondary structure includes four short double-helical elements and three loops (D, anti-codon, and T loops).
Source: RNAcentral